AGCGAACGCUGGCGGCAUGCCUAACACAUGCAAGUCGCACGGGGGGGCUUCGGCCUCCCAGUGGCGGACGGGUGAGGAACGCGUAGGGACCUGUCGAGGGGUGGGGGAUAACCGCGGGAAACUGCGGCUAAUACCGCAUGACGCCGCGGCGUGACAGCCGGGGCCAAAGGCGAAAGCCGCCCGCCGAGGGGCCUGCGUCCGAUUAGCUGGUUGGCGGGGUAGCGGCCCACCAAGGCGUCGAUCGGUAGCUGGUCUGAGAGGGUGAUCAGCCACACCGGGACUGAGACACGGCGCGGAAUACUACGGGAGGCAGCAGUGGGGAAUAUUGGACAAUGGGCGUAAGCCUGAUCCAGCAAUGCCGCGUGAGUGAAGAAGGUCUUCGGAUUGUAAAGCCCUUUCGGCGGGGACGAUGGUGACGGUACCCGCAGAAGAAGCCCCGGCUAACUUCGUG
RNAcentral lists this ribosomal RNA (451 nucleotides) under uncultured bacterium. Its description in RNAcentral is "partial 16S ribosomal RNA". It matches the Rfam family "Bacterial small subunit ribosomal RNA", at positions 30 to 507 of the family's 1533-position model. The record is from RNAcentral.